Molecule: ribosomal RNA, 463 nt
Filed under: Streptococcus sp. oral taxon H24
Lineage: Bacteria; Bacillati; Bacillota; Bacilli; Lactobacillales; Streptococcaceae
Description: bacterial SSU rRNA
Rfam family: Bacterial small subunit ribosomal RNA
Source: RNAcentral
GACGAACGCUGGCGGCGUGCCUAAUACAUGCAAGUAGAACGCACAGUUUAUACCGUAGCUUGCUACACCAUAAACUGUGAGUUGCGAACGGGUGAGUAACGCGUAGGUAACCUGCCUGGUAGCGGGGGAUAACUAUUGGAAACGAUAGCUAAUACCGCAUAAUAUUGAUUAUUGCAUGAUAAUUGAUUGAAAGAUGCUAUUGCAUCACUACCAGAUGGACCUGCGUUGUAUUAGCUAGUAGGUGAGGUAACGGCUCACCUAGGCGACGAUACAUAGCCGACCUGAGAGGGUGAUCGGCCACACUGGGACUGAGACACGGCCCAGACUCCUACGGGAGGCAGCAGUAGGGAAUCUUCGGCAAUGGACAAAAGUCUGACCGAGCAACGCCGCGUGAGUGAAGAAGGUUUUCGGAUCGUAAAGCUCUGUUGUAAGAGAAGAACGGGUGUGAGAGGGAAAGUUCACA